RNAcentral lists this transfer RNA (69 nucleotides) under Ictidomys tridecemlineatus (thirteen-lined ground squirrel). RNAcentral describes it as "Spermophilus tridecemlineatus (thirteen-lined ground squirrel) tRNA". It matches the Rfam family "tRNA". From Rfam's summary of the family: Transfer RNA (tRNA) molecules are approximately 80 nucleotides in length. Their secondary structure includes four short double-helical elements and three loops (D, anti-codon, and T loops). Further hydrogen bonds mediate the characteristic L-shaped molecular structure. tRNAs have two regions of fundamental functional importance: the anti-codon, which is responsible for specific mRNA codon recognition, and the 3' end, to which the tRNAs corresponding amino acid is attached (by aminoacyl-tRNA synthetases). tRNAs cope with the degeneracy of the genetic code in two manners: having more than one tRNA (with a specific anti-codon) for a particular amino acid; and 'wobble' base-pairing, i.e. permitting non-standard base-pairing at the 3rd anti-codon position. Lineage: Eukaryota; Metazoa; Chordata; Mammalia; Rodentia; Sciuridae. The record is from Rfam by way of RNAcentral.
GGGGCUGUAGCUCAGUGGUAGAGCACUUGCCUCGCAUGUGUGAGGCACUGGAUUUCAUCCUCAGCACCA